This 259-nucleotide ribosomal RNA is filed under the name Streptomyces rochei. RNAcentral's name for it is "partial 16S ribosomal RNA". It matches the Rfam family "Bacterial small subunit ribosomal RNA", at positions 576 to 834 of the family's 1533-position model. Lineage: Bacteria; Bacillati; Actinomycetota; Actinomycetes; Kitasatosporales; Streptomycetaceae. The record is from RNAcentral.
CGGCUUGUCCGUCGGUUGUGAAAGCCCGGGGCUUAACCCCGGGUCUGCAGUCGAUACGGGCAGGCUAGAGUUCGGUAGGGGAGAUCGGAAUUCCUGGUGUAGCGGUGAAAUGCGCAAAUAUCANGAGGAACACCGGUGGCGAAGGCGGAUCUCUGGGCCGAUACUGACGCUGAGGAGCGAAAGCGUGGGGAGCGAACAGGAUUAAAUACCCUGGUAGUCCACGCCGUAAACGGUGGGCACAUAGGUGUGGGCACCAUUC